RNAcentral lists this ribosomal RNA (489 nucleotides) under uncultured bacterium. RNAcentral's name for it is "partial 16S ribosomal RNA". It matches the Rfam family "Bacterial small subunit ribosomal RNA", at positions 29 to 505 of the family's 1533-position model. The record is from RNAcentral.
GUGAACGCUGGCGGUAGGCCUAACACAUGCAAGUCGAACGGCAGCACAGUAAGAGCUUGCUCUUACGGGUGGCGAGUGGCGGACGGGUGAGGAAUACAUCGGAAUCUACUUUUUCGUGGGGGAUAACGUAGGGAAACUUACGCUAAUACCGCAUACGACCUACGGGUGAAAGCAGGGGAUCUUCGGACCUUGCGCGAUUGAAUGAGCCGAUGUCGGAUUAGCUAGUUGGCGGGGUAAAGGCCCACCAAGGCGACGAUCCGUAGCUGGUCUGAGAGGAUGAUCAGCCACACUGGAACUGAGACACGGUCCAGACUCCUACGGGAGGCAGCAGUGGGGAAUAUUGGACAAUGGGCGCAAGCCUGAUCCAGCCAUACCGCGUGGGUGAAGAAGGCCUUCGGGUUGUAAAGCCCUUUUGUUGGGAAAGAAAAGCAGCAGGUUAAUACCCCGCUGUUCUGACGGUACCCAAAGAAUAAGCACCGGCUAACUUCG